CCUAAAUAUAGUUUAUUUAAUUACAUGUCUACAAGUAACUUUUUAACUAACCUUUUGUUUAUUUUCAUAAUAUCCAUCUAAGGAAACAAUUCAGCUAUUCUUAUACAAAUAUAUGUGAACUCAGAGGACUCAACCAAUCAAUAUUCUGUCUGGCCCAAGAAAAAGGAACUGCAUCCCCAGGCAACUCAAAAACUCUAUUUUGAAGUGAGGAAAGAACCAGCACUUCCUUAACUUCCAAAAUCAUAUGGAUAAGUGCCACAGAAUCUAGGAACAUGAAGAGCCAAAGUUGUAUACAUGUGGGAGGCAAGACUGCUGAUCCUAGAGGCUGUGUGGAGUGCUGGUAAAAAGCCCAUGCUCUGGAGCGUAGCCAAAUCAAUCAAGUGGAAGAAAGGAUAUCAGUGACUGAAGAUCAACUCAAUGAAAUAAAGCUAGAAGCCUUGGGACACCCAGAUAUCCUGCCUUCCCAGCCUUGACUCCAUAGGAAAGCAGUGGAAAGAGGGAAGAUAUUGCUAUGCCAUUCUGCCAUUCUUUCUCUAGUGACACAAGGAUGGAUCCAGAAACUCUGGACCUCAAAAUAACCUGUGGUAAUAUGAGGAGAUGAGAAUCCAGCAUCUGCAUCUUACAGAGAUCUCCAAACAUAAAAUGUGAAGGGGGAAAAUAACAAC
This 665-nucleotide long non-coding RNA is filed under the name Callithrix jacchus (white-tufted-ear marmoset). Its description in RNAcentral is "lncRNA (ENSCJAG00000076302.1)". Lineage: Eukaryota; Metazoa; Chordata; Mammalia; Primates; Cebidae. The record is from RNAcentral.